UUGGUGGCUGAUCAAUGCAUGAGAAGGUUACAUAUUCAUUUACACAUUGAUUUGUGAAGGCUUAUUAUGGCUAGACGUUACAAUUCCACAAACACCACCUUUAAUUCUUCAGCUAACAUACUUUAACCACGUCUUCUACUUACAGCUCAUUCUGCACCAUUAAAUAUUCCGAAUUUGCUCUUGAAUCAAACAGAUGAAAUGUAGAGAAUUUCGUAAGCUAUCCAACGAGUUAAAGAUCACCUCAAAC
This 247-nucleotide long non-coding RNA is filed under the name Medicago truncatula (barrel medic). Its description in RNAcentral is "long non-coding RNA (MTRU_LNC000211)". The record is from RNAcentral. Lineage: Eukaryota; Viridiplantae; Streptophyta; Magnoliopsida; Fabales; Fabaceae.